This is a long non-coding RNA of Sinocyclocheilus anshuiensis, 213 nucleotides long. RefSeq lists it as uncharacterized. The transcript has 3 exons. NCBI's taxonomy places the organism in Eukaryota, Metazoa, Chordata, Actinopteri, Cypriniformes, Cyprinidae. The record is from RefSeq and is a predicted model, not a curated record.
CACUGAUACACACUGGCACUAAAGUAUGAAUGAAUGAGAGCUGCAAUGACAAGCGCCAAGAUACUGAACACAGAGCAGAUGUGCCGACAUGAACACACGCACUAUACUGUUCAAAGGUUUAGAGUGAGUGUGGUUUCCCUUCUGCAUUGCUGAAUUCCACAUCAGUGCAGCUGCUUUAACAACCACACCCAAUCGCCAUCGCGACCGGGCCUC